Molecule: long non-coding RNA, 782 nt
Organism: Musa acuminata subsp. malaccensis (wild Malaysian banana)
Lineage: Eukaryota; Viridiplantae; Streptophyta; Magnoliopsida; Zingiberales; Musaceae
Source: RefSeq, a predicted model, not a curated record
GAGCCUUCUUCCAUUCUUGUCAUGCAGUGACAACCACGCAAGGAGCAGAAAGUUGGGUUGAGGUAAAGGGCAUCGAUGUAAUCUGAUGAAAAUGCAGCGUAUCUAUCUGAACGUGGAUCCCAAGGAGCUGCUACCUCUACGGACUUGAAGACUGAUUGGAUCUUAUCUCGAAGACUUCUUCGAAGGCAUGAGGAGUUGAUCCAAGUCGUUUGGAGUAUCCGUUGCCAUUUUAGCUGAUAAAAGAAGUGAAGGCAGGACCUAUCUAUCUACUCUCAAAUCCAAUCUUAAAGUUGAAGCGUUCAUGAUUCGAGUGUUGGGAAGGCCUUUCUACGUAUAAUAUGGAAAUGCUUGUUUUAGCUUCGGAGCACUCCAACUCCUAAUAAGAACACGACGAAAGCCUCUUUGCUUGGCUCACAAAGCAAAAGAGGAAGGCUUCGUUCUGCGUUAUAAAAAGUUGGCCAGCGGUACAAACUUGGGCCCUCUUCUCACGUGAUAAAGUUCUCUGCAGAGGCACAGGGGAAAACGAAAUGCUGCUUCGUCUACGAUAAGCCGGUGAAGUCCAAAGAACAUUUGGGUGUUUGAGCAUCGGGCGGCUGCGGUGAUUCUUCCACCUCGGGAGUCGUAUUUUCUUUUGGUGGUCGGUCAUCUCUGUUGGAUAAAAUGUUAGGACAAAUGGUCGAGAAAUUAGUCGUGGUAAAAUGGAGGCUUGCAGUCCUCGGUGAACUUUGGGUGUCUCUUCUUGGGCUCCGUGAACCCCAUGUGGGAUUAUGACAAGUUUUAAA